RNAcentral lists this non-coding RNA (177 nucleotides) under Dehalococcoidia bacterium. Its description in RNAcentral is "6S RNA". It matches the Rfam family "6S / SsrS RNA". Rfam says of the family: E. coli 6S RNA was the first non coding RNA to be sequenced, but its function was unknown until recently. It consists of 184 nucleotides that fold into an extended hairpin structure with a large single-stranded internal bulge. The record is from RNAcentral. Lineage: Bacteria; Bacillati; Chloroflexota; Dehalococcoidia.
AACGGCCUGCUAUGCGCGUGAUGCAUCUGCUUAUUUGAGCCAAUAACGUCACAUUGGGGGCCAUACUUCUGGAAGGGGUGUGUAUGCCACAACCAGUGGAAACGCGCUAAACGGACAGAGGGCUCCCACUUGGUCACCAGACCAAAUUAAGCGAGCACACGGCACGGCGGGCCAACG